UGAAAAUUAUGAAACAUUUUUUUGCGGGGAAGACGAGGUUUUGAGCUUGAAGACGACGAAUGCAGGAUUUAUUUCAGCUCUACACUGCAAAAGAAAAAAAAAAGACAGGUAUUAAACAACAGAGCAAAUGAAAGUGAGCUAACAUUCUUAGGAAGUGUCUGUCCGAUCCGAGAUGCCCAAAGGGAGGGAGGAUCUUUGUCCCUCACAUGGAGAGUAUCACGAGGAAUAUACUAAAAACUGAAGACAUUUGCGUGGAAUUUGCAUCACCAUGAGGUGUGCCUACCCCAAUCAUACGGUAGGCAAACCACGAGACAGAGAGCAGCCAAUUCAAGGUCUACAGGCAGCAGCGCAUUAGGGACUCCUGCUUGGCCGCUAUUGGCUCCCAAAUCUGAAUGGAUGUUUAAAUAUGCUGUUAAUCCGGGCAUUAAGAUUUAAGAAACACGCCCACUUGAGCAUUAAGAAACCUCCAUGACAAUAAUGUGGAGAUUAUAUGGGUGUCAUGCUGUUGGAUUUGUCGUUUGCAGGGGGAUUACAUUGCAGGCUUUCCUUUCCUGCCUGCCUUGUAUUUGGCAAUGUCUUGGUCCCCCCCAUGCUUUGUUUAAUCAGAAUGCCUUUUGUUUAUUUAUAGCCACCAUAAUAGUUGUUCAGGUCCAUGUACUAUGCUCAUUAUAUUGACCCAUUUGCAUUACUAAUCCUUAGUAGCCCAGAUGGAUGGAUUGGUUCAUCAGUUACCUGAAACAUCAAUGUAUCAGCAUCUGGGGAACAAAAUUGACCUACUAACUGUGUUCCAUAACAAGACAAAACCCAGAAAAAAAUCAUUUGUAAGAAACAAGGAUCAUUAGCCUCUGAGCUCAUUGUUUACAGGUAGGUGACAUUGCUCUAUCUCACAGUGGCAUAGGACUACCCAAAGUGGUAUAAAAGGAUUUCACUGUCUGCCUGAAUAGAUCAUGGUGAAAAGUAACGUUUCAGUAACAUUCAGCAACUUAUGUGUCCAAGGAAGCCUAUUCAGAUGAAAGACUAGUUUAGUCAGUUGUUUGGCAUCUAUACAUGAGUUGGAUUGACUUGAAGCCUUGGCAUUUGGCAGGGAAGAUGUCAGUGUUAUCUACUUUUCUAAGCUUUGGGGCCAAGCGUAAUCUAUGCAGGCAGCCUACUGGCUUUCAAAUUACCAGUGAAUAGACAGAACAAAAUUAACUAUGGAGCCUAUGCUAUGUGUGAGGAACGGAAAGCUCCUGUAGGAUAGGCAAGCAACGAAUAUGCCAUGCAACUUGUUCUACCUAUUAAUUUUGACCGGAUUUCUUUGCUACGAAAAUCAUGCUCCAUCCACUCUGCACCGCGAUUAAAGACAUCCCCAUCGAUCCGCCGGUGAAUUUUCCAUGAUGCUUCUCCUCUCCUAAUCUGUUGCUAUAUCUUAGGCUGCUGCAUAUCUCAUAUAGUUAUGAUAGCAAAGAUCACAUUCUUGAUUCAAAGCAGCAAGCACUUACUCCCAACUGUCAAUAAACUAGUUAGUAAUCCUGCUCGACAGAAUAACAUGGCGAGUGUUCAUACUAUCGAUUGACCGAUUCUCGCAUCCAAUGAGCUCUGAUGUGUGAUCGAUUCUUCCUUCUUAGGUGAUGUGUUGUACUCCUACAUGUGAGCAUUAAGCAAAGUGUUGUGCAUGGUACAAGAGAGAUAAUUAUAUAUAUGAGCUAGAGGCUAGUGGAGGGGACUUGAAAGUGCAUGUAAAGAGGGCCGGGAAAGCAAAGCAUGAAGGAGCAAGCUUGGGUUAGGCUCUAAUCUAUGGAGAUGGAGGGCAGCAGGCAUUUGCAUCUCUGACCACUAAAGGAUGGCUUCAGGCCUUUGAUGUGGAUCCACUUGUCGACGCGCGGUGGGAUCGUUCAUCAUAUAUAUUUCAUUGCAGAAUGGCAUUUUUGCGCGCCAGAAUAAAGCGAAAGACGCCUUUUCCCUGCGCCUUCAGCUCUGUUUCUGCUAAUAUAUUUUAUGUUUCAUUGAUUCCUCCUAAUGCUUGUGGGUUUUAUUUUUCAGCUCAAGUUUAUCGUCAGUAGACCCCUCAGGCCUGAGCAGUGGAUGCUGAUAAGCAUGGACAUGGAGAGGGAAGAGCCCAUUGGCUGCAACUGCGACGCAAAACGAUUCUAAAUGGCCAUCUUUUAUGUUAAACUGCCAAGAACCUUCUGAAUGUUGGAACCAGCAGUGCCUGCACAUAGACACAAUGUACUUGGUCCCCAACUCCUAACCUAUCUGCACCCUAGGGGCUUAUGAAAUGCUUCAUUCAACUGGGGACCGUUACAAGCAAUGCAACCGACUUCUGUCGACAGCCCUGUCAUCGCAAUGGUGACCGUAACGGGCUAACGGCACAGGAGGAACCAUGCAUCUUGCUGAAUUCAAUUCAAAUAUUUAAAUUCUAUAGAAAUUGAAGGUUCUCUCUAUGAAAUUUAGUAGUAUGUUCCCAGCAUCGCUCUAGUUCCAGUGGCUCACUUGGCCGGUCUUAUCGCCGGCAAAUUGGCACUGUUCCAGCAUGUGGGUGAACACGAGUGCAGAUAGCAAGUAAAGCUUGUAUGAUGGAGGAGGAUAGGAUCUGGAUCGAAGCCUGGAAUUGAAAUGGGCCAGCAGCAUGUGCAUUCAAUCUAGCGUAGCGUUAGGUGAGACAACUGACCUGAUCUUGACAAAACCAAUUCUUUUAAAUUUCUCUGAAUUUGACUUGAUUUGAUCGAUGCGGCCGCUCACUCUCCUCGUCAAGAGGGCUGGCACGACUUCUUUUUCGCACCGUGCCGUGUCAAGCCUGUUUUGGACGUCUGAAAUGACCUCCAAAUUGACCAGGUGUAAAGCAAGCACUAGCUUUCAAUGUCUG
This 2845-nucleotide long non-coding RNA is filed under the name Setaria italica (foxtail millet). Its description in RNAcentral is "long non-coding RNA (SITA_LNC003354)". Lineage: Eukaryota; Viridiplantae; Streptophyta; Magnoliopsida; Poales; Poaceae. The record is from RNAcentral.